GGCCCGUUCGUCUAGUGGUUAGGACCUCGGGUUUUCAUCUCGGUAACAGGAGUUCGAUUCUCCUACGGGCUACAA
RNAcentral lists this transfer RNA (75 nucleotides) under Fidelibacterota bacterium. RNAcentral describes it as "tRNA-Glu". It matches the Rfam family "tRNA". Rfam says of the family: Transfer RNA (tRNA) molecules are approximately 80 nucleotides in length. Their secondary structure includes four short double-helical elements and three loops (D, anti-codon, and T loops). The record is from RNAcentral. Lineage: Bacteria; Pseudomonadati; Fidelibacterota.